AUUGAACGCUGGCGGCAUGCCUUACACAUGCAAGUCGAACGGCAGCACGGGAGCAAUCCUGGUGGCGAGUGGCGAACGGGUGAGUAAUACAUCGGAACGUGCUCGGUAGUGGGGAUAACCGGCGAAGCCGGACUAAUACGCAUACGACCUACGGUGAAAGACAGGGAGUCGCAAGACCUUGCGCUAUCGGAGCGGCCGAUGUCAGAUUAGCUUGUUGGCGGGGUAAAAGGACCCACCAAGGCGACGAUCUGUAGCUGGUCUGAGAGGACGACCAGCCACACUGGGACUGAGACACGGCCCAGACUCCUACGGAGGCAGCAGCGGGGAAGUUUGGUACAAUAGGGCGCAAGCCUGAUCCAGCCAUGCCGCGUGCGGGAAGAAGGCCU
RNAcentral lists this ribosomal RNA (386 nucleotides) under uncultured bacterium. RNAcentral describes it as "bacterial SSU rRNA". It matches the Rfam family "Bacterial small subunit ribosomal RNA", at positions 29 to 417 of the family's 1533-position model. The record is from RNAcentral.